UCGCAGCAGGCCGGGAAACCUUAACAAUGCAGGAAACUUGUGAUAAGGGAACCCCGAGUUGCCCGUAAACGCGGGCUGUCCCGGUGUUUAAACACAUCGAAGAAAGGGCCGGGCAAGACCGGUGCCAGCCGCCGCGUAAUACCGGCGGCUCGAGUGGUGACCACUUUUAUUGGGCUUAAAGCGUUCGUAGCUUGAUUUUUAAGUCUCUGGGAAAUCUCACGGCUUAACUGUGAGGCGUCUAAGAGAUACUGGGAAUCUAGGGACCGGGAGAGGUAAGAGGUACUUCAGGGGUAGAAGUGAAAUUCUGUAAUCCUUGAGGGACCACCGAUGGCGAAGGCAUCUUACCAGAACGGCUUCGACAGUGAGGAACGAAAGCUGGGGGAGCGAACGGGAUUAGAUACCCCGGUAGUCCCAGCCGUAAACUAUGCGCGUUAGGUGUGCCUGUAACUACGAGUUACCGGGGUGCCGAAGUGAAAACGUGAAACGUGCCGCCUGGGAAGUACGGUCGCAAGGCUGAAACUUAAAGGAAUUGGCGGGGGAGCACCACAACGGGUGGAGCCUGCGGUUUAAUUGGACUCAACGCCGGGCAGCUCACCGGAUAGGACAGCGGAAUGAUAGCCGGGCUGAAGACCUUGCUUGACCAGCUGAGAGGAGGUGCAUGGCCGUCGUCAGUUCGUACUGUGAAGCAUCCUGUUUAGUCAGGCAACGAGCGAGACCCACGCCAACAGUUGCUAGCAUGUUCUCCGGAAUGAUGAGGACACUGUUGGGACCGCCUCUGCUAAAGAGGAGGAAGGAAUGGGCAACGGUAGGUCAGCAUGCCCCGAAUUAUCCGGGCUACACGCGGGCUACAAUGGUCAGGACAAUGGGAAACGGCACUGAAAAGUGUAGUCAAUCUCCUAAACCUGUCCCAAGUUCGGAUUGUGGGCUGCAACUCGCCCACAUGAAGCUGGAAUCCGUAGUAAUCGCGUUUCAAAAUAGCGCGGUGAAUAAGUCCCUGCUCCUUGCACACACCG
This 1013-nucleotide ribosomal RNA is filed under the name uncultured archaeon. Its description in RNAcentral is "bacterial SSU rRNA". It matches the Rfam family "Archaeal small subunit ribosomal RNA", at positions 330 to 1348 of the family's 1478-position model. The record is from RNAcentral.